AAGCAACAAAAUCAAAUGUGAUUAUUAAUUGCGAAACAAGGCUGAAACAAGUCCUGUAGCAGAAUCAAUCCCAAAUACUUUUAGAGAAGGCCCUUGCGAAGUUUUACACCUUCUACUACGCUUAUAGCAUGCCAACAAAAUUAGCAGCCAAAUACCUUUCUCUAUUAGGUCAAUUCGUAGCAACUGAAUACAAUGGCACCACAGGUGAUGGUGGCAAAACGAUAUUACCCAUAUCUUCUGAACUCGACUAGCUGUAUUCUUCAAAUCCGACCAUAUACAAAAUCCUAAAGGUACUAUACCAAAUUGAAUGUCGUAUUGAACGUGUGCUGGUUGAUUUUUCUAGAUUUUGCACGAUCCUGCAAGAUGUAUAACUGAGAUAUUUUUUAUUCCUCCAAUACAACCUGGGCACCCUUGCAAACCUUCAAUGUUCCACAUCCAUCAAAGAACUUAUAAUCCUUUGAAUCAAGGAUAGGCAAUGAGAUAAGAUUCUUUUUCAAAUCUGUAACAUGUUGAACUUGGACAAUGGUUCUAAUUGUCUCAUUCAUUAACUUCAAUCUGACUUUACCAAUUCCAGAAACCCGACAAGGUGCGUUGUUUCCUAUAAUUAUGAUAACUUUGGAACUGUUUCAUGUUGUAGUAAACAAGUCCAAUUAGGACAUAUAUAAAACACACACGCUAAAUCCAUAAUCCAAUCCUCUACAGGCUUAGAUUCGACGUCAAAAAAAGCCAAAAGAUCUCCAUCACUCACAUAGUUCUCUACGAGAUCUGCUUUGCCCAAAGUAUCUGAUUGCAUACCAUUCUAGUUUGCAGCCAACCUUUAUCUAUUUUGCAAUUUGUAGCAAUCCUAUUUAUUGUGUCCCCUUUUCUUGCAGUAUAUUUUGAAGUUAGACCUUGAUUUCCCCCUGCACAUCCACCAUCAAGAACUAGAUCAUUUUCAUGAACCUUAACAAUAUGCUUCAUCUUCUCCUUUGAAAAUAUAGCAUCUUAGAUUUCUUC
RNAcentral lists this long non-coding RNA (996 nucleotides) under Olea europaea subsp. europaea. Lineage: Eukaryota; Viridiplantae; Streptophyta; Magnoliopsida; Lamiales; Oleaceae. The record is from RNAcentral.